Molecule: ribosomal RNA, 501 nt
Filed under: uncultured bacterium
Lineage: Bacteria
Description: partial 16S ribosomal RNA
Rfam family: Bacterial small subunit ribosomal RNA
Source: RNAcentral
AUUGAACGCUGGCGGCAGGCUUAACACAUGCAAGUCGAGCGGAGAGAGGUAGCUUGCUACUGAUCUUAGCGGCGGACAGGUGAGUAAUGCUUAGGAAUCUGCCUAUUAGUGGGGGACAACAUUUCGAAAGGAAUGCUAAUACCGCAUACGUCCUACGGGAGAAAGCAGGGGAUCUUCGGACCUUGCGCUAAUAGAUGAGCCUAAGUCGGAUUAGCUAGUUGGUGGGGUAAAGGCCUACCAAGGCGACGAUCUGUAGCGGGUCUGAGAGGAUGAUCCGCCACACUGGGACUGAGACACGGCCCAGACUCCUACGGGAGGCAGCAGUGGGGAAUAUUGGACAAUGGGCGGAAGCCUGAUCCAGCCAUGCCGCGUGUGUGAAGAAGGCCUUAUGGUUGUAAAGCACUUUAAGCGAGGAGGAGGCUACUUUAGUUAAUACCUAGAGAUAGUGGACGUUACUCGCAGAAUAAGCACCGGCUAACUCUGUGCCAGCCGCCGCGGUAA